GGGGAAUAUUGGACAAUGGGGGAAACCCUGAUCCAGCAAUGCCGCGUGUGUGAAGAAGGCCUGCGGGUUGUAAAGCACUUUCGGUGGGGAGGAAAAGCUGAGAGCUAAUACCUUUCAGUGUUGACGUUACCCAAAGAAGAAGCACCGGCUAACUCUGUGCCAGCAGCCGCGGUAAUACAGAGGGUGCAAGCGUUAAUCGGAAUUACUGGGCGUAAAGCGCACGUAGGUGGUUUGAUAAGUCGGAUGUGAAAUCCCUGGGCUCAACCUAGGAAUUGCAUUCGAUACUGUCUGACUAGAGUAUGGUAGAGGGGGGUAGAAUUCCCGGUGUAGCGGUGAAAUGCGUAGAUAUCGGGAGGAAUACCAGUGGCGAAGGCGGCCCCCUGGACCAAUACUGACACUGAGGUGCGAAAGCGUGGGUAGCAAAC
Molecule: ribosomal RNA, 425 nt
Filed under: uncultured bacterium
Lineage: Bacteria
Description: bacterial SSU rRNA
Rfam family: Bacterial small subunit ribosomal RNA
Source: RNAcentral